CCUACGGGUGGCAGCAGUGAGGAAUAUUGGUCAAUGGGCGCAAGCCUGAACCAGCCAAGUCGCGUGAAGGAAGACGGCCCUACGGGUUGUAAACUUCUUUUAUAGAGGAAUAAAGGUAUGCGCGUGUGGCUUUUUGUAUGUACUUUAUGAAUAAGGAUCGGCUAACUCCGCGCCAGCAGCCGCGGUAAUACGGAGGAUCCGAGCGUUAUCCGGAUUUAUUGGGUUUAAGGGGAGCGUAGAUUGGUUUUUAAGUCAGUUGUGAAUGUUUGCGGCUCAACCGUAGAAUUGCAAUUGAUACUGGAAGACUUGAGUGCAGUUGAGGUAGGCGGAAUGCGUGGUGUAGCGGUGAAAUGCAUAGAUAUAGCGCAGAACUCCGAUUGCGAAGGCAGCUUGCUGGGCCAUAACUGACGCUGAGGCACGAAAGCGUGGGUAUCAAACAGGAUUAGAUACCCCGGUAGUC
This 460-nucleotide ribosomal RNA is filed under the name uncultured bacterium. Its description in RNAcentral is "partial 16S ribosomal RNA". It matches the Rfam family "Bacterial small subunit ribosomal RNA", at positions 338 to 795 of the family's 1533-position model. The record is from RNAcentral.